Molecule: long non-coding RNA, 288 nt
Filed under: Arabidopsis lyrata
Lineage: Eukaryota; Viridiplantae; Streptophyta; Magnoliopsida; Brassicales; Brassicaceae
Description: long non-coding RNA (ALYR_LNC001925)
Source: RNAcentral
UUUUCUCACAAUAAUAUAUACCUUUGUGAAGAAACAUUUCCUCCAAUUUAUUAAAAAAAAAAUCUUAAAAUUCGUUGAAGGUUCAACAGUUUUGAAAUCAACAUUUUAGACUUUUUUUAAAAAAAUUUGUUCCCAAGUUUGGUAUGCUUCAUAAAUUGGCAUUCAUGAUGUUGAAAAUCUCUCUUAUAAUGUUUUGGUUAGUAUCCUUGUGAAUAAAACUUUAUGUGACGUCUUUUGAUACAAACAAAAACUUUAAGAAUGCUCAUCUAUCUCUUUUCCCGGAUUAGU